This 378-nucleotide unclassified non-coding RNA is filed under the name uncultured Thermoleophilia bacterium. Its description in RNAcentral is "contains 16S-23S intergenic spacer region". Lineage: Bacteria; Bacillati; Actinomycetota; Thermoleophilia. The record is from RNAcentral.
UCCGGUUUGUCACCGGCAGUCUCCUAUGAGUGCCCGACCCUACUCGCUGGCAACUGGAGGCGAGGGUUGCGCUCGUUGCGGGACUUAACCCAACAUCUCACGACACGAGCUGACGACAGCCAUGCACCACCUGUGAUCGCGCCCCGAAGGGAGGGUGUGUUUCCACACCGGUCGCGAACAUGUCAAGCCCAGGUAAGGUUCUUCGCGUUGCGUCGAAUUAAACCACAUGCUCCGCUGCUUGUGCGGGUCCCCGUCAAUUCCUUUGAGUUUUAGCCUUGCGGCCGCACUCCCCAGGCGGGGCACUUAAUGCGUUAGCUGCGGCGCCGGGGGAGUCGACACCCCCAACACCUAGUGCCCAUCGUUUACGGCGUGGACUAC